RNAcentral lists this non-coding RNA (23 nucleotides) under Cricetulus griseus (Chinese hamster). The record is from RNAcentral. Lineage: Eukaryota; Metazoa; Chordata; Mammalia; Rodentia; Cricetidae.
UUGAGUGAAGCUCUUCCUGGAGA